AUAUUACUAAGCGGAGGAGAAGAAAUUAACAAAGAUUGCCUUAGUAAGGGCGACUGAACCGGCAAAAGCUCAAAAUUAGAAUCGGGGAUUCAAAGAAUCUUCGAAUUGUAAUCAGGACUGCCUAAAUACGAAAGUUUGCUCAAGUACGUCGAAACGUACGCCAGAGAGGGUGAAAGUCCCGUACAGCUUAUUUUCGAACAAGGUAGUUCCCAAAAGAGUCGGGUUGCUUGGAACUGCAGCCCUAAGUGGGAGAUAUGAAUCUUCCAAAGCUAAAUAAGGAUGGGAGACCGAUAGCGCCAAGUA
This 303-nucleotide ribosomal RNA is filed under the name uncultured eukaryote. RNAcentral's name for it is "partial large subunit ribosomal RNA". It matches the Rfam family "Eukaryotic large subunit ribosomal RNA", at positions 40 to 350 of the family's 3401-position model. The record is from RNAcentral.